This 329-nucleotide ribosomal RNA is filed under the name uncultured eukaryote. RNAcentral's name for it is "partial 18S ribosomal RNA". It matches the Rfam family "Eukaryotic small subunit ribosomal RNA", at positions 1470 to 1796 of the family's 1831-position model. The record is from RNAcentral.
CCCUUAGAUGUUCUGGGCCGCACGCGCGCUACACUGACUGGUGCAACAAGUGUCUGACCUUGGCUCGAGAGGCCUGGGCAACCUUUGAACGCCAGUCGUGCUGGGGAUAGAUUCUUGCAAUUAUUAAUCUUCAACGAGGAAUUCCUAGUAAACGCAAGUCAUCAGCUUGCGUUGAUUACGUCCCUGCCCUUUGUACACACCGCCCGUCGCUCCUACCGAUUGAAUGGUCCGGUGAAGCGUUCGGACCGUGGCCUUUGGACGGUUCGCCGUCUGUUGGCUGCGGGAAGUUCGUUAAACCUUAUCAUUUAGAGGAAGGAGAAGUCGUAACA